This 912-nucleotide ribosomal RNA is filed under the name uncultured bacterium. RNAcentral's name for it is "bacterial SSU rRNA". It matches the Rfam family "Bacterial small subunit ribosomal RNA", at positions 8 to 916 of the family's 1533-position model. The record is from RNAcentral.
AGAGUUUGAUCCUGGCUCAGGACGAACGCUGGCGGCGUGCCUAACACAUGCAAGUCGAACGGAACUUCUUUAAUUGACUUCUUCGGAAUGAUUUUGAUUAAGUUUAGUGGCGGACGGGUGAGUAACGCGUGAGUAACCUGCCUCUAAGAGGGGAAUAACAUUCUGAAAAGAAUGCUAAUACCGCAUAACAUAUAUUUAUCGCAUGGUAGAUAUAUCAAAGAUUUAUCGCUUAGAGAUGGACUCGCGUCCGAUUAGUUAGUUGGUGAGGUAACGGCUCACCAAGACCGCGAUCGGUAGCCGGACUGAGAGGUUGAACGGCCACAUUGGGACUGAGACACGGCCCAGACUCCUACGGGAGGCAGCAGUGGGGGAUAUUGCGCAAUGGGGGAAACCCUGACGCAGCAACGCCGCGUGAAGGAUGAAGGUCUUCGGAUUGUAAACUUCUUUUAUUAAGGACGAAGAAAGUGACGGUACUUAAUGAAUAAGCUCCGGCUAACUACGUGCCAGCAGCCGCGGUAAUACGUAGGGAGCAAGCGUUGUCCGGAUUUACUGGGUGUAAAGGGUGCGUAGGCGGCUUUGCAAGUUAGAUGUGAAAUCUAUGGGCUCAACCCAUAGCCUGCAUUUGAAACUGCAGAGCUUGAGUGAAGUAGAGGCAGGCGGAAUUCCCCGUGUAGCGGUGAAAUGCGUAGAGAUGGGGAGGAACACCAGUGGCGAAGGCGGCCUGCUGGGCUUUAACUGACGCUGAGGCACGAAAGCGUGGGUAGCAAACAGGAUUAGAUACCCUGGUAGUCCACGCUGUAAACGAUGAUUACUAGGUGUGGGGGGUCUGACCCCUUCCGUGCCGGAGUUAACACAAUAAGUAAUCCACCUGGGGAGUACGGCCGCAAGGUUGAAACUCAAAUGAAUUGACGG